RNAcentral lists this long non-coding RNA (1314 nucleotides) under Numida meleagris (helmeted guineafowl). Its description in RNAcentral is "lncRNA (ENSNMEG00000023115.1)". The record is from RNAcentral. Lineage: Eukaryota; Metazoa; Chordata; Aves; Galliformes; Numididae.
CAACUGAUAAAUGAGUAAGACUAAAAGAGAUGCCGUCAGUGAGACCUGGGCUGGAGUCCAUGCUCCUUCCUUGCUUGCACAUAGGAAGCAGAAAGGAUGAGCCAAGAGCAGAUGCUGCAGUGAUCACAAUAGUGUGUACAGAAUUAAUCUUUAUGGCAGAGGUACAGUAUAUCCAGGCAAAUGAUCUCUGCAAGGCAGACAGAGGACCAGAUCCUGGGCAUAGAAUUCCAAGGAACAUCCAACAAGAAAAAUACAGCCAACUUCUUCCACCAUGUAGCAGAUUCCCACUAGAUCCAGCUGCAGAGCAUGGCCAUGGCUCAUCUCCCCAUGCCUUUGCCUUUACAGUGUUCCCAGAGUGGUUCAGUAAAACAAGUGACUCGGCACACUACAUUGGAAACUUGGCUUGCUCAGCUCCUGGUGACUGAUUCUGAAUUCUUUCUGGAAACAAGAUGAAACCUUCCUAACAAAAAGGAAAAAGGAGUCUUCACCUCCAGGCUGCGGCCACUUUCCCUCCUUCAUGAACUAGAGAUGCAGUCACCCCACAAUCUGAGGGUAAGAUGUUCUGUAUUAGACUUUCAAAAGAAGCAGAACUCAUUUGCAAAUAUUUUGCAGGGCCCUGUAGCCCUCUUCAGGGGCACAUCGGGCAGAAGUGUCAGCUUGAGAAAUCCAGGACUUCUAAGAGAGUAAAACCACAAAGCUCUGAUCUGACCAUGAAUGUUACAUUGCAUUUCAUUAUUGGUUUGGCACACAUUAUAACAGAUGAAUAUAGAGGGCUUCAUCUGUAUCUUGGAAUCUCUGCACUUCUAUUAUCAUGAAAGAUAUUUUAAAGGUUGUUGCCUUGGAUAGAAGAAGAAGAAAAUAACCUUUACUUGUGCAGAUAUUGCACUAAAUAUUGGCAUGUGCAUAAACGGAGGCUGUAGUCAGAAAAUACAAUCCAUAAAGAUUUAGGGGAUGUUGUUCAAAGCACAUAAAUUUAUCCCUUGUUCACAUGCAUGUAUAAAUAUCUGCAUAAGAAAAUCGAGUCUUCGGUGACCAGUCUAGAUCAUGACCUUAUAAAAGCAGCUCCUGUGCAAGAGUCCACUUGACAAUUUCCUAUGCUCUAACCACCUCCUUUCAUUGCAAUCUUAAUGAGGGCUUUCACGUGCACAACAAAAAUGAGAUGAGAGAGUUUGGGGAAACCUCCUUGUCAGGGAAAACCAACACCUUGAAUUAAAGGCAUCAAGUAUUUGAGCCUCUUCUCAGGAUAUAAAGCUAAUAGCAUGCAUUGAACUACUGAAAUACUAUAAAAUAAAGGAGUGCUGUUCCAUAAACGCA